GGAUUGGAGUCUGCAACCCGACUCCAUGAAGCUGGAUUCGCUAGUAAUCGCGCAUCAGCCACGGCGCGGUGAAUACGUUCCCGGGCCUUGUACACACCGCCCGUCAAGCCAUGGAAGCCGGGAGUGCCUGAAGUACGCGACCGCAAGGAGCGUCCUAAGGUAAAACCGGUGACUGGGGCUAAGUCGUAACAAGGUACC
This 198-nucleotide ribosomal RNA is filed under the name uncultured bacterium. Its description in RNAcentral is "partial 16S ribosomal RNA". It matches the Rfam family "Bacterial small subunit ribosomal RNA", at positions 1295 to 1500 of the family's 1533-position model. The record is from RNAcentral.